Molecule: non-coding RNA, 99 nt
Organism: Acanthosepion pharaonis
Lineage: Eukaryota; Metazoa; Mollusca; Cephalopoda; Sepiida; Sepiidae
Source: the annotation of a GenBank genome assembly
GUUGAAACAUUGGUUCCUGUACGAUCACCGAAGUUAAGCAACGUCGAUCCUGGUUAGUCCCUACAUGGGUGACCGUUUGGGAAUAACAGCUGCUGUAAG